This 765-nucleotide ribosomal RNA is filed under the name Lactiplantibacillus plantarum. RNAcentral describes it as "bacterial SSU rRNA". It matches the Rfam family "Bacterial small subunit ribosomal RNA", at positions 67 to 804 of the family's 1533-position model. The record is from RNAcentral. Lineage: Bacteria; Bacillati; Bacillota; Bacilli; Lactobacillales; Lactobacillaceae.
CUGGUAUUGAUUGGUGCUUGCAUCAUGAUUUACAUUUGAGUGAGUGGCGAACUGGUGAGUAACACGUGGGAAACCUGCCCAGAAGCGGGGGAUAACACCUGGAAACAGAUGCUAAUACCGCAUAACAACUUGGACCGCAUGGUCCGAGUUUGAAAGAUGGCUUCGGCUAUCACUUUUGGAUGGUCCCGCGGCGUAUUAGCUAGAUGGUGGGGUAACGGCUCACCAUGGCAAUGAUACGUAGCCGACCUGAGAGGGUAAUCGGCCACAUUGGGACUGAGACACGGCCCAAACUCCUACGGGAGGCAGCAGUAGGGAAUCUUCCACAAUGGACGAAAGUCUGAUGGAGCAACGCCGCGUGAGUGAAGAAGGGUUUCGGCUCGUAAAACUCUGUUGUUAAAGAAGAACAUAUCUGAGAGUAACUGUUCAGGUAUUGACGGUAUUUAACCAGAAAGCCACGGCUAACUACGUGCCAGCAGCCGCGGUAAUACGUAGGUGGCAAGCGUUGUCCGGAUUUAUUGGGCGUAAAGCGAGCGCAGGCGGUUUUUUAAGUCUGAUGUGAAAGCCUUCGGCUCAACCGAAGAAGUGCAUCGGAAACUGGGAAACUUGAGUGCAGAAGAGGACAGUGGAACUCCAUGUGUAGCGGUGAAAUGCGUAGAUAUAUGGAAGAACACCAGUGGCGAACGCGGCUGUCUGGUCUGUAACUGACGCUGAGGCUCGAAAGUAUGGGUAGCAACAGGAUUAGAUACCCUGGUAGUCCAUACCGUA